UUCUCUUUGCCUUCUGGCUUAGAUCAGGUGUAGUAACUGUUCUUAUCAGCUUAAUCGCUGAUAGUCCUGCCCUACAGGACGCUUCGAUUAAUCUAAUUUUUCACCCUCGCGACUUGGCCUCUAUGCUUGCAUAUGUCUCGUUGCACUGUGUCACUGGGCUUACACUGCCCCCAGUCGAUGCGACUCCUC
Non-coding RNA from Penicillium camemberti, 189 nucleotides. Lineage: Eukaryota; Fungi; Ascomycota; Eurotiomycetes; Eurotiales; Aspergillaceae. The record is from Rfam.